GAUGAACGCUGGCGGCGUGCCUAAUGCAUGCAAGUCGAGCGAACAGACGAGGAGCUUGCUCCUCUGACGUUAGCGGCGGACGGGUGAGUAACACGUGGAUAACCUACCUAUAAGACUGGGAUAACUUCGGGAAACCGGAGCUAAUACCGGAUAAUAUAUUGAACCGCAUGGUUCAAUAGUGAAAGACGGUUUUGCUGUCACUUAUAGAUGGAUCCGCGCCGCAUUAGCUAGUUGGUAAGGUAACGGCUUACCAAGGCAACGAUGCGUAGCCGACCUGAGAGGGUGAUCGGCCACACUGGAACUGAGACACGGUCCAGACUCCUACGGGAGGCAGCAGUAGGGAAUCUUCCGCAAUGGGCGAAAGCCUGACGGAGCAACGCCGCGGGAGUGAUGAAGGUCUUCGGAUCGUAAAACUCUGUUAUUAGGGAAGAACAAAUGUGUAAGUAACUAUGCACGUCUUGACGGUACCUAAUCAGAAAGCCACGGCUAACUACGU
RNAcentral lists this ribosomal RNA (496 nucleotides) under uncultured bacterium. RNAcentral describes it as "partial 16S ribosomal RNA". It matches the Rfam family "Bacterial small subunit ribosomal RNA", at positions 28 to 506 of the family's 1533-position model. The record is from RNAcentral.